AAAACAUAGAUUAAAUGCAUAAAACAGACCCACCAACAAAAUGAAGGCAAAAGGAAUGUCCACAAUAAAAGAACUACAGUAAACUAGAAGCCGAUAUCCAUAUCCGAUCUUUCCCAAUUUUCAGAUCUGAAUAAAUUUCCAAAUCAGGAUCCCAGAUUCAAUAACUUAAAUCAAUCAAACCAUGCAAAACAAAUCCCAGAAAAUAAGCAGGAAAUGAGAUCAAAAUGUUGAAUCUCGAACUUCAAAAUCCACCAAAAAAAAUAAAAAAUCCCAACUCAAUUAAAUCCAUAAUCCAAUCAUUCGUAUUAAGCAAACCAUACUAAAUUCUG
Molecule: unclassified non-coding RNA, 329 nt
Filed under: Hevea brasiliensis (rubber tree)
Lineage: Eukaryota; Viridiplantae; Streptophyta; Magnoliopsida; Malpighiales; Euphorbiaceae
Source: RNAcentral